RNAcentral lists this long non-coding RNA (818 nucleotides) under Homo sapiens (human). RNAcentral describes it as "HSALNT0299153". Lineage: Eukaryota; Metazoa; Chordata; Mammalia; Primates; Hominidae. The record is from RNAcentral.
CCACAGUCAACCAUGGGCCAGAACAUAGUUACACUGCCACAAGUUGUGGAUGGGAGGGCUGGAUUUCCUGAACCCUUCCCAGCAUUGCUCGAGUUUCUUGGUUCCUCCGCUAGAGAAGAGGAGCCCCAGAGCUCUGUAGGCUCCAGAAAAGUGCCCAAAUCAUAAGCAGACAUCUCAUUGGAUUUACUGAGCACACCCAGGUAUCCACCACCCAAGGGAAGCAACGAAGGUGACCCCACCCAGCAUUUACCCUGUGUCCCUAUCUUGGACAUUGAUUCUGCUCCAGAGGUCACAAUCUCAUGCCGCCAAUUGCCAUAGAUUCGUUUUGCUUGGUCUUAAACUUUAUAUAAAUGGUAAGUUGCAAAAAGUGGAAACUUUCGUUACUGGAUUCUUUUGUUGGCCUUAUGCUUGUAAGAUGCGUCCACAAUGUUAAGAUACAUUUCUUGCAAUAAUUUGUAGAAUUUACAUCUUUACAAUGUUCAACAUUCCCAUUCAGAAUCAUGAUAUAGAUCUUCAUUUAAUCAAAUCUGUGCAUGUGUUAGAAAAUUCAAAGAGUGUAUUUUUAUAGUAUUGUAACUUGGUAAUUUAUGGCUUUAGUUGCUAUUGAGAGUAAAUUUUCCAGCAUAUUUUUAAACUGGUUCUUGCUGAUAAAAUACCCGGUGAUUAAAAUAUAUGUAUAUAGUUGUCGUUUUACAUAUAAAAUAUUUUAAUCAGCUUGUCUUUGAUUACUGGUAAAGUGAGCACAUUUCCAUGUGUUUAUUGGCCACAUUAAUUUUUACCUUUUAAUUGCUGCUACUGCUGCUUCUGCUUCUUCUUCU